GAUGAACGCUGGCGGCGUGCCUAAUACAUGCAAGUCGAGCGAAUGGAUUAAGAGCUUGCUCUUAUGAAGUUAGCGGCGGACGGGUGAGUAACACGUGGGUAACCUGCCCAUAAGACUGGGAUAACUCCGGGAAACCGGGGCUAAUACCGGAUAACAUUUUGAACCGCAUGGUUCGGAAUUGAAAGGCGGCUUCGGCUGUCACUUAUGGAUGGACCCGCGUCGCGUUAGCUAGUUGGUGAGGUAACGGCUCACCAAGGCAACGAUGCGUAGCCGACCUGAGAGGGUGACCGGCCACACUGGGACUGGGACACGGCCCAGCCUCCUACGGGAGGCAGCAGUAGGGAAUCUUCCGCAAUGGACGAAAGUCUGACGGAGCAACGCCGCGUGAGUGAUGAAGGCUUUCGGGUCGUAAAACUCUGUUGUUAGGGAAGAACAAGUGCUAGUUGAAUAAGCUGGCACCUUGACGGUACCUAACCAGAAAGCCACGGCUAACUACGUGCCAGCAGCCGCAGUAA
RNAcentral lists this ribosomal RNA (515 nucleotides) under uncultured bacterium. RNAcentral's name for it is "partial 16S ribosomal RNA". It matches the Rfam family "Bacterial small subunit ribosomal RNA", at positions 28 to 523 of the family's 1533-position model. The record is from RNAcentral.